GGGGCUGACCGGAUUUGACGGCAAGCCGGAGUGAGGUGUAAGCACGCGGAGCAGUGUAUGUUCUCUCCUUAAACAGAAUGUACAGAAAAUUAAUUGGCAACAACAGAUUUGCUCUCGCUGCUUGAUCGAAGAACAGUAGAUCGGCUCAAUCCCACUACUAGGUAGAGGGACGAGACAUCGCUCAAGGAUUCUUUUUCCGAAAUGCCUUGAUUCAGCGGUGCUCGCAAUUCGGAAAUAGUGGCAUCAGGUCUCGAUGAUGUCAUGAAACUUCAGAGACUAAGGCAACGGUUGGUGGUCCGGGUCUUGCCGUUGCUCGAAAACUCAAGGCCGGAAUAAGCGUGUAGAAAGCAUCUUGUUUCCUUGUUCGGACGAGGGUUCGACUCCCUCCAGCUCCAC
Molecule: transfer-messenger RNA, 396 nt
Filed under: uncultured Prevotella sp.
Lineage: Bacteria; Pseudomonadati; Bacteroidota; Bacteroidia; Bacteroidales; Prevotellaceae
Rfam family: transfer-messenger RNA
About the family: Bacterial tmRNA, also known as 10Sa RNA or SsrA, is named for its dual tRNA and mRNA-like properties. Its role is to liberate the mRNA from a stalled ribosome.
Source: RNAcentral